RNAcentral lists this ribosomal RNA (907 nucleotides) under uncultured bacterium. RNAcentral describes it as "bacterial SSU rRNA". It matches the Rfam family "Bacterial small subunit ribosomal RNA", at positions 57 to 948 of the family's 1533-position model. The record is from RNAcentral.
GCAGUCGAGCGAACAGACGAGGAGCUUGCUCCUUUGACGUUAGCGGCGGACGGGUGAGUAACACGUGGAUAACCUACCUAUAAGACUGGGAUAACUUCGGGAAACCGGAGCUAAUACCGGAUAACAUGUUGAACCGCAUGGUUCAACAGUGAAAGACGGUCUUGCUGUCACUUAUAGAUGGAUCCGCGCCGCAUUAGCUAGUUGGUAAGGUAACGGCUUACCAAGGCAACGAUGCGUAGCCGACCUGAGAGGGUGAUCGGCCACACUGGAACUGAGACACGGUCCAGACUCCUACGGGAGGCAGCAGUAGGGAAUCUUCCGCAAUGGGCGAAAGCCUGACGGAGCAACGCCGCGUGAGUGAAGAAGGUCUUCGGAUCGUAAAACUCUGUUAUUAGGGAAGAACAAAUGUGUAAGUAACUAUGCACGUCUUGACGGUACCUAAUCAGAAAGCCACGGCUAACUACGUGCCAGCAGCCGCGGUAAUACGUAGGUGGCAAGCGUUAUCCGGAAUUAUUGGGCGUAAAGCGCGCGUAGGCGGUUUUUUAAGUCUGAUGUGAAAGCCCACGGCUCAACCGUGGAGGGUCAUUGGAAACUGGAAAACUUGAGUGCAGAAGAGGAAAGUGGAAUUCCAUGUGUAGCGGUGAAAUGCGCAGAGAUAUGGAGGAACACCAGUGGCGAAAGCGACUUUCUGGUCUGUAACUGACGCUGAUGUGCGAAAGCGUGGGGAUCAAACAGGAUUAGAUACCCUGGUAGUCCACGCCGUAACGAUGAGUGCUAAGUGUUAGGGGUUUCCGCCCCUUUAGUGCUGCAGCUAACGCAUUAAGCACUCCGCCUGGGGAGUACGACCGCAAGUUGAAACUCAAAGGAAUUGACGGGACCCGCACAAGCGGGUGGAGCAUGGUGGUUU